Long non-coding RNA from Oncorhynchus tshawytscha (Chinook salmon), 913 nucleotides. The record is from Ensembl. Lineage: Eukaryota; Metazoa; Chordata; Actinopteri; Salmoniformes; Salmonidae.
CAGGGAUGUUCUCUGUUUAGUGAGUCCACCAGAUCAGAGGCAGUAGGGAUGACCAGGGAUGUUCUCUGUUUGGUGAGUCCACCAGAUCAGAGGCAGUAGGGAUGACCAGGGAUGUUCUCUGUUUAGUGAGUCCACCAGAUCAGAGGCAGUAGGGAUGACCAGGGAUGUUCUCUGUUUAGUGAGUCCACCAGAUCAGAGGCAGUAGGGAUGACCAGGGAUGUUCUCUGUUUAGUGAGUCCUCCAGAUCAGAGACAGUAGGGAUGACCAGGGAUGUUCUCUGUUUAGUGAAUCCACCAGAUCAGAGGCAGUAGGGAUGACCAGGGAUGUUCUCUGUUUAGUGAGUCCACCAGAUCAGAGGCAGUAGGGAUGACCAGGGAUGUUCUCUGUUUAGUGAGUCCACCAGAUCAGAGGCAGUAGGGAUGACCAGGGAUGUUCUCUGUUUAGUGAGUCCACCAGAUCAGAGGCAGUAGGGAUGACCAGGGAUGUUCUCUGUUUAGUGAGUCCACCAGAUCAGAGGCAGUAGGGAUGACCAGGGAUGUUCUCUGUUUAGUGAGUCCACCAGAUUAGAGGCAGUAGGGAUGACCAGGGAUGUUCUCUGUUUAGUGAGUCUACCAGAUUAGAGGCAGUAGGGAUGACCAGGGAUGUUCUCUGUUUAGUGAGUCCACCAGAUCAGAGGCAGUAGGGAUGACCAGGGAUGUUCUCUGUUUAGUGAGUCCACCAGAUCAGAGGCAGUAGGGAUGACCAGGGAUGUUCUCUGUUUAGUGAGUCCACCAGAUCAGAGGCAGUAGGGAUGACCAGGGAUGUUCUCUGUUUAGUGAGUCCACCAGAUCAGAGGCAGUAGGGAUGACCAGGGAUGUUCUCUGUUUAGUGAGUCCACCAGAUCAGAGGCAGGAGGGAUGACCAGGGAUGUUCU